RNAcentral lists this microRNA (18 nucleotides) under Gallus gallus (chicken). RNAcentral describes it as "gga-miR-12292-5p". The record is from miRBase by way of RNAcentral. Lineage: Eukaryota; Metazoa; Chordata; Aves; Galliformes; Phasianidae.
UCUGUGAGGUCCUUGGGG